UAGGGUAUAGCUCAGUGGUAGAGCCCUUGCCUUGCAUGUGUGAGGCCCUGGGUUCAGGUCCCAGCACCAUUA
RNAcentral lists this transfer RNA (72 nucleotides) under Fukomys damarensis (Damara mole-rat). It matches the Rfam family "tRNA". From Rfam's summary of the family: Transfer RNA (tRNA) molecules are approximately 80 nucleotides in length. Their secondary structure includes four short double-helical elements and three loops (D, anti-codon, and T loops). Lineage: Eukaryota; Metazoa; Chordata; Mammalia; Rodentia; Bathyergidae. The record is from Rfam by way of RNAcentral.